UCUCCCCUAAUUUACAAUUUGAACUUUGUUUAUAAACAUGAUUCCCAUAUAAACAUUUUUGGAUGUGUUGUGUAUGUGCAAUUGCUCCAAUAGAAUGCAUUUAAACGGUUCUUAAAGAAUAUUGGGAAAAUGUAUUUGAUAUGAAUCUCCAUCUAUUAUAAAUCAUCUUGAGCCAAAAAUUGGAGAAUUAUUUACAGCC
RNAcentral lists this long non-coding RNA (199 nucleotides) under Trifolium pratense (red clover). RNAcentral describes it as "long non-coding RNA (TPRA_LNC007716)". The record is from RNAcentral. Lineage: Eukaryota; Viridiplantae; Streptophyta; Magnoliopsida; Fabales; Fabaceae.